Molecule: ribosomal RNA, 306 nt
Filed under: Streptomyces sp. SCC124
Lineage: Bacteria; Bacillati; Actinomycetota; Actinomycetes; Kitasatosporales; Streptomycetaceae
Description: bacterial SSU rRNA
Rfam family: Bacterial small subunit ribosomal RNA
Source: RNAcentral
UUCGGGGUGAUGGGGACUCACAGGAGACUGCCGGGGUCAACUCGGAGGAAGGUGGGGACGACGUCAAGUCAUCAUGCCCCUUAUGUCUUGGGCUGCACACGUGCUACAAUGGCAGGUACAAUGAGCUGCGAAGCCGUGAGGCGGAGCGAAUCUCAAAAAGCCUGUCUCAGUUCGGAUUGGGGUCUGCAACUCGACCCCAUGAAGUCGGAGUUGCUAGUAAUCGCAGAUCAGCAUUGCUGCGGUGAAUACGUUCCCGGGCCUUGUACACACCGCCCGUCACGUCACGAAAGUCGGUAACACCCGAAG